This 429-nucleotide ribosomal RNA is filed under the name bacterium. Its description in RNAcentral is "partial 16S ribosomal RNA". It matches the Rfam family "Bacterial small subunit ribosomal RNA", at positions 355 to 776 of the family's 1533-position model. The record is from RNAcentral.
UAGGGAAUCUUCCACAAUGGACGCAAGUCUGAUGGAGCAACGCCGCGUGAGUGAAGAAGGUUUUCGGAUCGUAAAGCUCUGUUGUUGGUGAAGAAGGAUAGAGGCAGUAACUGGUCUUUAUUUGACGGUAAUCAACCAGAAAGUCACGGCUAACUACGUGCCAGCAGCCGCGGUAAUACGUAGGUGGCAAGCGUUGUCCGGAUUUAUUGGGCGUAAAGCGAGAGCAGGCGGAAUGAUAAGUCUGAUGUGAAAGCCCACGGCUCAACCGUGGAACUGCAUCGGAAACUGUCAUUCUUGAGUGCAGAAGAGGAGAGUGGAAUUCCAUGUGUAGCGGUGGAAUGCGUAGAUAUAUGGAAGAACACCAGUGGCGAAGGCGGCUCUCUGGUCUGCAACUGACGCUGAGGCUCGAAAGCAUGGGUAGCGAACAGG